GGAAGUAAAAGUCGUAACAAGGUUUCCGUAGGUGAACCUGCGGAAGGAUCAUUACCGAGUGAGGGCCCUCUGGGUCCAACCUCCCACCCGUGUUUAUUUUACCUUGUUGCUUCGGCGGGCCCGCCUUAACUGGCCGCCGGGGGGCUUACGCCCCCGGGCCCGCGCCCGCCGAAGACACCCUCGAACUCUGUCUGAAGUUUGUAGUCUGAGUGAAAAUAUAAAUUAUUUAAAACUUUCAACAACGGAUCUCUUGGUUCCGGCAUCGAUGAAGAACGCAGCGAAAUGCGAUACGUAAUGUGAAUUGCAAAUUCAGUGAAUCAUCGAGUCUUUGAACGCACAUUGCGCCCCCUGGUAUUCCGGGGGGCAUGCCUGUCCGAGCGUCAUUGCUGCUCUCAAGCACGGCUUGUGUGUUGGGCCCCGUCCUCCGAUCCCGGGGGACGGGCCCGAAAGGCAGCGGCGGCACCGCGUCCGGUCCUCGAGCGUAUGGGGCUUCGUCACCCGCUCUGCAGGCCCGGCCGGCGCUUGCCGACACAUCAAUCUUUUUUCCAGGUUGACCUCGGAUCAGGUAGGGAUACCCGCUGAACUUAAGCAUAUCAAUAAGCGGAGGA
This 608-nucleotide ribosomal RNA is filed under the name Penicillium sp. L9. Its description in RNAcentral is "eukaryotic LSU rRNA". The stretch from base 231 to 383 matches the Rfam family "5.8S ribosomal RNA". The record is from RNAcentral. Lineage: Eukaryota; Fungi; Ascomycota; Eurotiomycetes; Eurotiales; Aspergillaceae.